GUCCCAUGUGCUUUGAUAUCAUUGAGGAGGCAGACAUGACAAAAUGUGACCACAGAUUUGCUACAAUUGUAUUCAUCAGAGUUUGGAGGACAAUAAUAGAUGUCCCAAAUGUAAUUAUGUUGUGGACAAUAUUGACCAUCUCUAUCCUAAUUUCUUGGUGAAUGAACUCAUUCUCAAACAAAAGCAAAGAUUUGAGGAAAAGAGGUUCAAAUUGGACAACGCAGUGAGUAGCACCAAUGGGCAUAGGUGGCAAAUAUUUCAAUAUCUACUAGGAACUGAUCAAGAUAACCUUGAUUUGGCCAAUGUCAACCUCAUGUUGGAAUUAUUAGUCCAGAAG
Molecule: long non-coding RNA, 337 nt
Filed under: Mus musculus (house mouse)
Lineage: Eukaryota; Metazoa; Chordata; Mammalia; Rodentia; Muridae
Description: long non-coding RNA chrX:65086837-65087174
Source: RNAcentral